Molecule: long non-coding RNA, 323 nt
Organism: Quercus robur (English oak)
Lineage: Eukaryota; Viridiplantae; Streptophyta; Magnoliopsida; Fagales; Fagaceae
Exons: 2
Source: RefSeq, a predicted model, not a curated record
AGCAAAAAAAUAGUUGUAAAUUUGAACAAUUUUAUUAACAAUAAACACCAUUGGUUUACUUACAUAGUUGGACCAUCUCUUUUCUUUUUCUCUUUUCUUCUUUAAAAAGAGUUCUACUGCCUUCUUUAUCUUCUUUCCUAUUUUUUGAAUAGGGUAGGUCAGCUUUGUGCACAUCAUAUAUAUAUUGAAGUUCAAAAUUGGACCAAACAUUUAUUGAUACAAAAAACUUUGAAGUUUCAAGAAUUUGGAGGAAAAGAAACUGCAAUUAAGGAUUCACUUCAUCAUUGUUACCUAAUAGCAUCCCAAGGCUGAUAUGUGCAGUA